UAAAACAGCAAUAAUUUCUUCGAUGGUAACUUACUAUACGGAUAACCGUAGUAAUUCUAGAGCUAAUACGUGCCAUAAACGCGGGCUUGCCCGUGGUGCUAAUUAGAUAACAACACCAACUCAUGGUGAUUCAUAAUUCUCUUUCUGAUCGAGCGCAUAAGCUCGACGCAUCGUUCAAAUUU
Molecule: ribosomal RNA, 182 nt
Filed under: Melobesioideae sp. 100-304
Lineage: Eukaryota; Rhodophyta; Florideophyceae; Hapalidiales; Hapalidiaceae
Description: partial 18S ribosomal RNA
Rfam family: Eukaryotic small subunit ribosomal RNA
Source: RNAcentral